RNAcentral lists this ribosomal RNA (378 nucleotides) under uncultured eukaryote. RNAcentral's name for it is "SSU rRNA". It matches the Rfam family "Eukaryotic small subunit ribosomal RNA", at positions 587 to 972 of the family's 1831-position model. The record is from RNAcentral.
AGCUCUGUAAGCGUAUACCAAAGUUGUUGCAGUUAAAACGCUCGUAGUCGAAUUUUGGCGGGCGGCGUGGGGCGUUCGCGAGAAUGUUCUUACGUUGGCCGCCUUUGUGGAUGGGGGCUCGGUGGCGCUUUAUUGCUUCGCCGAGUCACCGCCACCGUUUACUGUGAAAAAAUUAGAGUGUUCAAAGCGGGCGAUUGCCACGAAUACAUUAGCAUGGAAUAAUAGAAUAGGACCUGGGUCUUAUUUUGUUGGUACUGUUAAGUUCAGGUAAUGAUUAAGAGGGACGGUUGGGGGCAUUUGUAUUCCGGCGCUAGAGGUGAAAUUCUUGGAUUGCCGGAAGACAAACAGCUGCGAAAGCGUCUGCCAAGGACGUUUUCA